CUUUCCUUUUUACAUGUAGAUGUCUUCACCAAUCAAACCAAGAAGGAUUUAGAUGGCAGUGUUACGGGACGUGUAGUACUCCCUUCUGAAGAGACUUCUGUGACUUUUGAUAGAACUGCUGACUAUUCUAGAACCAGUACUGGCAAGGCCAUCAAAAAACAAGAUGUUCUCAGCAAUCAAAAUAAGGAAAAUUCAGUUGGUAGUGUGAUGAGUGAUGGAACUUAAACUAACAGUGAAUGCUAUUUUCCACUCUACCCCUAAACCUCAUAAGACUUCUGUCACUUUUAAUAGAAUUGCUGGCUAUUUUAGCACCAGUACUAGCAGGACCAACACUUUACAAGAUGUAUGUCCUCACCAAUCAAACCAAGAAGAAUUUAGAUAGCAGUGUUACGGAACGUGCAGUUUUCCCUUAUUUGCCUGCACCUGACGACACUUUUUUCUUCACAUAGGUUUGCUGAUUAUUUGCACACCCUUGAAAUUGACCGGGGUGGAGUAAUUUCAAAUUUCAAUUGGUAACCCACAAACAGGGCAUGAUUCUACUGUAGUGUUUCCUGCAGUCUGUAGACCAACCUACUGACAGCUCUCAAUUUUGGUAGCAAAUGCUUAGGCUUUAUCAGGUUAAUGAGUUUAACAGUUAACAGUUUGACAGUUCCAUUUUUUCAUGAUAGUUGGGUAUAUAACCAUGAUUUUUACAUUUAAAUGCGAAAAUCUAUGGAAUGUAAACACAUUUUGAUAUAAAGAUCAAAGUUAUAUUCCCAAAUAUCAUGCAAAAUGGAAUUGUUAAACUCUGUCAACUCUUAAACUGUUAAACUCCUUCCAUUGUGCAUAUUUUGAAAUAUAGCCACGAUUUUCACAUUUAAAUGUGUUUA
Molecule: long non-coding RNA, 869 nt
Organism: Frankliniella occidentalis (western flower thrips)
Lineage: Eukaryota; Metazoa; Arthropoda; Insecta; Thysanoptera; Thripidae
Exons: 3
Source: RefSeq, a predicted model, not a curated record